Molecule: transfer RNA, 72 nt
Filed under: Capra hircus (goat)
Lineage: Eukaryota; Metazoa; Chordata; Mammalia; Artiodactyla; Bovidae
Also listed under: 2 other names
Rfam family: tRNA
About the family: Transfer RNA (tRNA) molecules are approximately 80 nucleotides in length. Their secondary structure includes four short double-helical elements and three loops (D, anti-codon, and T loops).
Source: Rfam by way of RNAcentral
UCCUUGGUGAUUCAGUGGUUAGGAUUUGGGCUUUUACUGCCAGGGGCCCAGGUUCGACCCCUGAUCAGGGAA